AUCCAGGGCCACGCAGCAACCAAGCAAUGAGAAAAUAUCCCACUAUGUGAUCCCAGUCUGGGAUCAUAUUUAGGAUGAGAGAACAUGCAUUAGUUACCUACCAACUUGACAGGAAUGGAUUCCAAAUUUGACAUGCCAUAGCCUCACUUCUCACCAGUGUGCUCCUAGAAUGAUGAGCCCAUGCUGCAUGAGCCCCUGCCACUCUUCUGAAUAAGCUUCCAGGCAUUACCUGCAUGCUGUGUUCCUGUGGAGGGAUGGCAGUAAUCUCUGCUAAGAUAAACGGGAGCUUCUGUGGAUAGAGCAUAAACCUAGUGAAGUGUGUGUGGCUGUAAGAUUUAAUGCCUCUACAGUGCUUAGAUACAAGUUGAACUUGGAAUUCCAGAGGUAGAGCACUGCAGAUUGGAGGCAUAUUAAGGAAAAUGUACGGUGGAAAUGAGAUAAAACCUUUAUUCUUGCCAUUGAUUGUCAUUCUUGUAUGCAUACAGGUGUCUAACAAAGGGUUUGAGAAUAAAAUAUGCCUGUUUAAUGUUUUCCACCUUUCUUAAAGCCCUCAAUGAAUUGCAAAGAGCCUAUUUGGAAUGGACUGUGUUAAAUCUACUCCUGUCAAGUGAAAACCUU
Long non-coding RNA from Propithecus coquereli (Coquerel's sifaka), 618 nucleotides. RefSeq lists it as uncharacterized. The transcript is spliced from 3 exons. The record is from RefSeq and is a predicted model, not a curated record. Lineage: Eukaryota; Metazoa; Chordata; Mammalia; Primates; Indriidae.